AAACAGCCAUAUGUAGCCGUGACCGAUCGUAACCCUCCCCGUGAACGCUUGCUUUGUCGCGAUGGGGAUCAUGACGGUGACAGUGAUACUAACACUAACCCGUAAACCCUAAUUUUAUAGUCUCGCUGUGCUAAGCACACUACAACUCCUGGGCAAAAUCCUCAUAAGUCAGCUACCGCAGACUCAGAGGAUAUACCCGAUCAAAACGGGAACCUCCUUGGCUGUUCCUAGCAAAAACUAAAAGCAUAAAAGAAAAACCCUAAAUUCUUAGCCCAAAUUAAGCCCCAUCUCUCUUACUCGCUUACUCAAGCAACAAUGAGCCAUGGCUUAAACCACUUCGAAACCCUCUCUUCAUUCUCUGUUCACCUCAACAAAUUAAUCUUCACACCUUCUCUUUCUAAACGGUGGAGUUUUGUCUUGUUUUCCACUAAGAAUCAGAAUUUUUCUUCUCUGAAUUUCCAGUCAUGGCUGCCGCGGCUCACCUGCCACUCUAAGCGGUCCCACCGUGUCAGCUGCGUCCGCUGCAGAAAGGAAAUAACUACCAAGGCGUUAACGCAACCGCUGAAAGCAGGCAAACGCACCGAUUUGAAGAAAAAUUUGAUUCUUGGGGCGGGGCCCAUUGUGAUUGGUCAGGCUUGCGAG
RNAcentral lists this unclassified non-coding RNA (642 nucleotides) under Hevea brasiliensis (rubber tree). Lineage: Eukaryota; Viridiplantae; Streptophyta; Magnoliopsida; Malpighiales; Euphorbiaceae. The record is from RNAcentral.